GCAGAGACUGGGGGACCCUGUGAAUGGCGUCAAGGGUCCAUCUGCACUCAUGAACCUUAAAGGCUUUGACCUGGUUGAGGGAAUGAGUGCCGAGUAUAUGCACUGCGUUCUCCAAGGGGUAGUGCGGCAGUUCACGGAGCUGCUUUUUUCAUCUUCCAGCUCACGGCAGCCCUACUACAUGGGUGCACGGGGGUCUGUUGUCAAGGUCAAUGCACGCCUCCAAAGCAUCAAGCCUCCGC
Long non-coding RNA from Ixodes scapularis (black-legged tick), 239 nucleotides. RefSeq lists it as uncharacterized. The record is from RefSeq and is a predicted model, not a curated record. The transcript has 3 exons. Lineage: Eukaryota; Metazoa; Arthropoda; Arachnida; Ixodida; Ixodidae.